Symphalangus syndactylus (siamang) is the source of this 2316-nucleotide long non-coding RNA. RefSeq lists it as uncharacterized. The record is from RefSeq and is a predicted model, not a curated record. Lineage: Eukaryota; Metazoa; Chordata; Mammalia; Primates; Hylobatidae.
AUGUCUAUUUAACAACCUAAUAGUAUAUCUGAAUGGGCUUAGCACACAUUAGCAAAUGUUUGUUCCCAUUCCCUUUCUGCAUCGCAAAGGAGCAUAAUAAUCAAGGAGCCACACACUUCAGAAGAAUGAGAAGAUGUGCUUCUAAAUUUUGAUGACUGCUGAAGGUAACAGCAAGAGAGGAAAAACAAGAAGCAGAUGUACCAUCAAUGAUUAGACUUAGUGAAUUCUAGCUCAGAGUUGAUGAGAAGCCCUCAUGCACUUACACUCAGAAUAAAAUUCUUCCAUUGGCUCUCAUUUUCAUUGCAAGCUGCGUAUAGAGACAGGUAACAGAAGCUGCAGUGUUCUGUGUGUUUUGAAGAACUGCUUUACAACUGUGAGUAGACUGGAGUAGGGGUCAGGGUGAGGGCACUAGUGGAGGGAAUGUAGAGAAAAAUCCCAUAGCAAGAUUCAGUGAAGGGCAGGACUCUAACUGGGGGGGCUCUCUAGGUCUCCUAAAACCUGGACUUCUUUGGGGCUAUAACUACCCAGAAAAGGCAAAGACACAUAGGAAUGUAAUACAGACAGGAGAAGAAUGAGGAAUUACCAAAGAGAGGUCCUCACAAAGAAACAAACAUAACUAGUUUUAUACCACUACAUAUGUGACUCCCUCUGGCAUUCACGGUGUUUGCUAUUGAGGUCACAGUUAAAACACUGUGUUUCCUGAAAAUUUCCAAGGAGACAUGAAGUCUAACAUUAUAUAGGAGAAUUAUUUCUAGCUCAGAUUAACUGUAUCUGAAGCACAGACCACUUGAUACAGAUUCUUAUGCUAAACUCUUGGCAAACAUUUGGGAUUCCCUAAACUAGCUUGAAAUCUAAAAAUUAAUUUCAUCCAACUUCUCCAGAUCUGUACUUGCUAUAGAAAAUCUAGAUAUAACUUGCUUAGAAGACCCCCAUCAUGAACUAUCCAACUGAUGCAUCAUACAAGAUAACAAAUGAACACACAAAAUUAAUGAUUCUUUUUGGAGGUUGAGGACAAGGAAGUGUGUGUAUUGUUUUACACAAAUAGCUUCAAUUGUCCUGAUGUGGGAUAUGGCUUCCUUAUUAUGUGCCUUGCGGCUUCCAUGAUGAAAUGCUUAUAAUUUGGAUAUAUCCUUCCUUGUGAUAUGAAGCCCAGAAGAUCCACGGUAAGUUAAAAUGAACUAAUCAUUUAUGCGGUUAGAAAAAGAUAUAAUGUAAGGUAAAUUCAGACUUAACCUUGAAUUUGGACAAGGAGGUAUGGGUUGUUACAAACAGCCAAACAAACCCACCUCACUAACCUGGAUUUGAGUGUUGACUUUUCCUAAAACUUUGAGCAAAUCACUGAAUUUGUUCAAGCCUCUGUUUCUUCUUCUGUACAAACAGGGAUGCUACAUAUAUCUCUCACAAGGAUGUUUUAAGGGUUAAAUGAUGUAACCUAAAUGCUCUUAUAAAUAUCAAAUGGUGUGUGACAUCAUAAAUUAUCAUGAUUAAAUUCCUCAUAGCUGGUACUGUGUUAUCAUGGGUCUGAGACAUUAUGCAUGGACGUGCAUCAAGAUGGUUUUUAGGAGCCCCAGCAGCUUGGCGGACCCCAAUAAGAAUUUCCAUGUGAAUCUACUUUAUGUGAGGUAUAUGCUUACCUCAUUUUAAAAUUCCUUCAUAUUUAACCAAUAUCCCCCCUGCCACUUAGUGCUCUGAAUCCUGGAAUGAGCCUUAAAUACCUUCGUAUGGCAUUCAGUAGCUCUGGAAUCAGUCUAAGUUUGUAAACCAGUUCUGCUGUCCCUUACAGGUGAGUGACUUUAGGCAGGUAACUUAAUCUUUCUAAGUUUCCUUCUCUGUAAAACAGGGCCAUAUAGUUAAUACCUAAUGGGUUCUUAUGAAGACUAAAGGCAUUAAUACUUGUAAAGCACCUGGCAGCAUUGUAUUUUGCAUGAAGCCAAUGCUCAAAAUGUUAAAUUAUUGUAGCACUCAAUAUGGAUAUAAUUAUAAUAACCAGUUUUGAGGCAUCCUUUAGAAUUGUUUAUGUAAUGGAAUUUUAUUUUUCUUGGUAUUAGAAUGUAAUUUACUCCAAAGGAAAAACAAAAUACCUUUGGCAUAGGAGGCAGACUAUGUGGGAAGCAGAUUAACCUUUUUAACUUCUGCUGGUGCUUGAAAGGUGCUAAGCAUAAUCAUACUGAAAUGUAUUUGUUAGUGUGAUGGCUGCAUUUGAUGUGGAGGAGGAAAUAUGCCCUAAUCAGCUCUAAACAGAUCCUUGAUAUGCUUAGCCUGCCUCUUCCUCCCCUCUCAAAAAAAAAAAAAAAAAAAAAGGUAAACAGGUUGGCA